Molecule: ribosomal RNA, 487 nt
Filed under: uncultured bacterium
Lineage: Bacteria
Description: partial 16S ribosomal RNA
Rfam family: Bacterial small subunit ribosomal RNA
Source: RNAcentral
AAUCAACGCUGGCGGCGUGCCUAACACAUGCAAGUCGAGCGAGAAAGGGGCUUCGGCCCUGAGUAAAGCGGCGCACGGGUGAGUAACACGUGGGUAAUCUGCCCUCGAGUGGGGAAUAACACCGGGAAACCGGUGCUAAUACCGCAUACGAUCACGAUGUUUUCGGAUGUUGUGAUGAAAGGAGCAAUUCGCUCUUGGAGGAGCCCGCGGCUGAUUAGCUAGUUGGUGAGGUGAUGGCUCACCAAGGCAACGAUCAGUAGCCGGUCUGAGAGGGCGGUCGGCCACCCUGGAACUGAGACACGGUCCAGACUCCUACGGGAGGCAGCAGUGGGGAAUUUUUCGCAAUGGGGGCAACCCUGACGAAGCAACGCCGCGUGGAUGAUGAAGUCUCUUGGGACGUAAAAUCCUUUCGACAGGGAAGAAACCGCAAGGUUGACGGUACCUGUAGAAGAAGCCCCGGCUAACUCCGUGCCAGCAGCCGCAGUAA